CCCUUAGACGUUCUGGGCCGCACGCGCGCUACACUGACGAAGGCAACGAGCUUUCCUUUACCGAAAGGUACGGGUAAUCUUUUGAAACUUCGUCGUGCUGGGGAUAGAUCCUUGCAAUUUUUGAUCUUAAACGAGGAAUUCCUAGUAAGCGCAAGUCAUCAACUUGCGUUGAUUACGUCCCUGCCCUUUGUACACACCGCCCGUCGCUACUACCGAUUGAUUGGUUUAGUGAGGCCUUCGGAUCCGCGACUCGUUUUGUGGAGAAGUUGGACAAACUCAGUCAUUUAGAGGAAGUAAAAGUCGUAACA
Molecule: ribosomal RNA, 308 nt
Filed under: uncultured eukaryote
Lineage: Eukaryota
Description: partial 18S ribosomal RNA
Rfam family: Eukaryotic small subunit ribosomal RNA
Source: RNAcentral